Molecule: non-coding RNA, 72 nt
Organism: Syncephalis plumigaleata
Lineage: Eukaryota; Fungi; Zoopagomycota; Zoopagomycetes; Zoopagales; Piptocephalidaceae
Source: the annotation of a GenBank genome assembly
GGUUGCAUGGUGUAAUGGUUAGCACAUCAGACUUUGAAUCUGGGGACCUGAGUUCGAUUCUCAGUGCGACCA